Molecule: ribosomal RNA, 484 nt
Filed under: Monostilifera sp. Hoplo_CB061_CB061_18_01
Lineage: Eukaryota; Metazoa; Nemertea; Enopla; Monostilifera
Description: partial 16S ribosomal RNA
Rfam family: Bacterial large subunit ribosomal RNA
Source: RNAcentral
UUUUGAUUUUUUAUAAAAAAUGUUUUCUGCUCAGUGAUUUUAAAUAGCCGCGGUACUUUGACCGUGCAAAGGUAGCAUAAUCAUUUGCUUUAUAAUUGAGGGCUUGAAUGAAUGGAUUUACGAAACGUAAGCUUUAUUUUUAUAGUGAUUAGAAUUUGUUUUUUAAGUGAAGAAACUUAAAUGUUUUUUUGGGACAAGAAGACCCUUUUGAGCUUUAUUGCUUUUUAUUUUUAUUACAUUUUGGCAAUUUGAUUGGGGCGAUCUAGGAAGACAUAAUCUUCCUUUCUAAAUAAUGAUCCAAUUUUUUUGAUUGAUAGAGUAAGUUACCAAAGGGAUAACAGCGUAAUUUUUUUUGAGAGUUCUUAUUAAAAAUAAAGAUUGCGACCUCGAUGUUGACUUAUAGUUUCCUUUUGGUGUAGCCGCUAAUAGGGUUGGUCUGUUCGACCAUUAAAACUUUACGUGAGUUGAGUUCAGACCGGCGUAA